UUCGGUGGCUUUACCGGUGGGGAAACACCUGUUCCCAUUUCGAACACAGAAGUUAAGCCCACCAGGGCCGAUGGUACUUGGGGCUAACUCGCCCCCGGGAGAGUAGGUCGCUGCCGAAU
This 119-nucleotide ribosomal RNA is filed under the name Elusimicrobiota bacterium. Lineage: Bacteria; Pseudomonadati; Elusimicrobiota. The record is from RNAcentral.